GUGAGGAAUUUUCCGCAAUGGGCGAAAGCCUGACGGAGCAAUGCCGCGUGAAGGAUGAAGGCCUAUGGGUUGUAAACUUCUUUUCUUAGAGAAGAAUAUUGACGGUAUCUGAGGAAUAAGCAUCGGCUAACUCUGUGCCAGCAGCCGCGGUAAGACAGAGGAUGCAAGCGUUAUCCGGAAUGAUUGGGCGUAAAGCGUCUGUAGGUGGCUUCAAAAGUCUCCUGUCAAAUAUCAGGGCUUAACCCUGGGCCGGCAGGAGAAACUCUGAGGCUAGAGUUUGGUAGGGGCAGAGGGAAUUCCCGGUGGAGCGGUGAAAUGCGUAGAGAUCGGGAGGAACACCAAAGGCGAAAGCACUCUGCUGGGCCACAACUGACACUGAGAGACGAAAGCGAGGGGAGCAGAAGGGAUUAGAAACCCCGGUAGUCC
This 426-nucleotide ribosomal RNA is filed under the name uncultured bacterium. RNAcentral's name for it is "partial 16S ribosomal RNA". It matches the Rfam family "Bacterial small subunit ribosomal RNA", at positions 354 to 796 of the family's 1533-position model. The record is from RNAcentral.